RNAcentral lists this ribosomal RNA (253 nucleotides) under uncultured prokaryote. Its description in RNAcentral is "partial 16S ribosomal RNA". It matches the Rfam family "Bacterial small subunit ribosomal RNA", at positions 525 to 777 of the family's 1533-position model. The record is from RNAcentral.
ACGUAGGUGGCAAGCGUUGUCCGGAAUUAUUGGGCGUAAAGCGCGCGCAGGCGGCCUUUUAAGUCUGAUGUGAAAGCCCCCGGCUCAACCGGGGAGGGCCAUUGGAAACUGGAAGGCUUGAGUACAGAAGAGAAGAGUGGAAUUCCACGUGUAGCGGUGAAAUGCGUAGAGAUGUGGAGGAACACCAGUGGCGAAGGCGACUCUUUGGUCUGUAACUGACGCUGAGGCGCGAAAGCGUGGGGAGCAAACAGGA